RNAcentral lists this ribosomal RNA (496 nucleotides) under uncultured bacterium. RNAcentral's name for it is "partial 16S ribosomal RNA". It matches the Rfam family "Bacterial small subunit ribosomal RNA", at positions 29 to 507 of the family's 1533-position model. The record is from RNAcentral.
AUGAACGCUGGCGGCGUGCCUAAUACAUGCAAGUCGAGCGAACGGACGAGAAGCUUGCUUCUCUGAUGUUAGCGGCGGACGGGUGAGUAACACGUGGAUAACCUACCUAUAAGACUGGGAUAACUUCGGGAAACCGUAGCUAAUACCGGAUAAUAUUUUGAACCGCAUGGUUCAAAAGUGAAAGACGGUCUUGCUGUCACUUAUAGAUGGAUCCGCGCUGCAUUAGCUAGUUAGUAAGGUAACGGCUUACCAAGGCAACGAUGCAUAGCCGACCUGAGAGGGUGAUCGGCCACACUGGAACUGAGACACGGUCCAGACUCCUACGGGAGGCAGCAGUAGGGAAUCUUCCGCAAUGGGCGAAAGCCUGACGGAGCAACGCCGCGUGAGUGAUGAAGGUCUUCGGAUCGUAAAACUCUGUUAUUAGGGAAGAACAUAUGUGUAAGUAACUGUGCACAUCUUGGCGGUACCUAAUCAGAAAGCCACGGCUAACUACGUG